GCAGUUUCUGCAGGUCUGUUGCUGGCGACCUGGCAGUUCUGAGUGGUGGGAGGAGCACUGUUGGCCUUGGUGUUACCUUCACAGACGGUGUCACUUCCAGGCAUAUACUUGUAUUUUUAAUGAGUUCAUCCACAAAUGGACAGGCAGAAAAAUCUAGGAGUAGGGUUGCUGGCUCAUGGGGUAACAUGGUUGGGUCUGACAAACAGCUGCCCAGAUGGCUGAUCCUGCGGCGUCACACCUUCCUGAAUUUGGGAUACUGUCAAUCUUCCAGUGUGGACUCUUCCUGUGUUUGUGCGGUGGGAUUUCAUUAUGGCUUCCAUUUGAAUGUCCCCGCUGGUUAAUAAGGAAACAUUCUGACCAGGCCAACCAGUGAAUGGCUGCAGGAAAGAAGAAAUUAACACAUUCUGGUCAUAACCAAGACUUCCUCCCUCCCUUUUAGUAUAAAAGAAGCCUGAACUCUAACUUGGGAAAG
Cervus elaphus (red deer) is the source of this 472-nucleotide long non-coding RNA. RefSeq lists it as uncharacterized. The transcript has 3 exons. The record is from RefSeq and is a predicted model, not a curated record. NCBI's taxonomy places the organism in Eukaryota, Metazoa, Chordata, Mammalia, Artiodactyla, Cervidae.